GAUGAACGCUGGCGGCGUGCCUAAUACAUGCAAGUCGAGCGAACAGACGAGGAGCUUGCCCCUCUGACGUUAGCGGCGGACGGGUGAGUAACACGUGGAUAACCUACCUAUAAGACUGGGAUAACUUCGGGAAACCGGAGCUAAUACCGGAUAAUAUAUUGAACCGCAUGGUUCAAUAGUGAAAGACGGUUUUGCUGUCACUUAUAGAUGGAUCCGCUCCGCAUUAGCUAGUUGGUAAGGUAACGGCUUACCAAGGCAACGAUGCGUAGCCGACCUGAGAGGGUGAUCGGCCACACUGGAACUGAGACACGGUCCAGACUCCUACGGGAGGCAGCAGUAGGGAAUCUUCCGCAAUGGGCGAAAGCCUGACGGAGCAACGCCGCGUGAGUGAUGAAGGUCUUCGGAUCGUAAAACUCUGUUAUUAGGGAAGAACAAAUGUGUAAGUAACUAUGCACGUCUUGACGGUACCUAAUCAGAAAGCCACGGCUAACUACGUG
Molecule: ribosomal RNA, 497 nt
Filed under: uncultured bacterium
Lineage: Bacteria
Description: partial 16S ribosomal RNA
Rfam family: Bacterial small subunit ribosomal RNA
Source: RNAcentral